RNAcentral lists this ribosomal RNA (317 nucleotides) under uncultured eukaryote. Its description in RNAcentral is "partial 18S ribosomal RNA". It matches the Rfam family "Eukaryotic small subunit ribosomal RNA", at positions 1470 to 1796 of the family's 1831-position model. The record is from RNAcentral.
CCCUUAGAUGUUCUGGGCCGCACGCGCGCUACACUGAUCGGUGCAACAAGCAUCCGUCCUUGGCCGACAGGCCCGGGCAAUCUUUGAACGCCGGUCGUGAUGGGGAUAGACCUUUGCAAUUUUUGGUCUUCAACGAGGAAUUCCUAGUAAACGCAAGUCAUCAACUUGCAUUGAUUACGUCCCUGCCCUUUGUACACACCGCCCGUCGCACCUACCGAUUGAAUGGUCCGGUGAAACCUCCGGAUUGGCGCGUGCCCUCGGGCGCCGCCGAGAAGUUGGUUAAACCUUACCACUUAGAGGAAGGAGAAGUCGUAACA